CAAUAGCGUAUAUUAAAGUUGUUGCAGUUAAAAAGCUCGUAGUUGGAUUUCUGGGAGGGUGCCGCCGUCCGGCGUGUCCGUGUGCAGUGGCGCCCUUCCAUCCUUCUGUUAGCGUCUCUUGGCAUUCAUUUGCUGGUGGCGGGCUCAGAUAUUUUACCUUGAGAAAAUUAGAGUGUUUCAGGCAGGCUAGGCCGGAAUACAUUAGCAUGGAAUAAUGGAAUAGGACUACGGUCUCUUUGUUGGUUUGAGGGACUGCAGUAAUGAUUAAUAGGGAUAGUUGGGGGCAUUAGUAUUUAAUUGUCAGAGGUGGAAUUCUCAGAUUUGUUAAAGACUAACUUAUGCGAAAGCAUUUGCCAAGGAUGUUUNCAUUG
This 371-nucleotide ribosomal RNA is filed under the name uncultured eukaryote. RNAcentral's name for it is "partial 18S ribosomal RNA". It matches the Rfam family "Eukaryotic small subunit ribosomal RNA", at positions 592 to 975 of the family's 1831-position model. The record is from RNAcentral.